GGAUUGUAGUCUGCAACCCGACUACAUGAAGCUGGAAUCGCUAGUAAUCGCGAAUCAGAAUGUCGCGGUGAAUACGUUCCCGGGUCUUGUACACACCGCCCGUCACACCAUGGGAGUUGGAAAUGCCCGAAGCCGGUGACCGAACCUUAGGGACGGAGCCGUCGAAGGUGGAGCCAAUGACUGGGGUGAAGUCGUAACAAGGUAAC
This 206-nucleotide ribosomal RNA is filed under the name uncultured bacterium. Its description in RNAcentral is "partial 16S ribosomal RNA". It matches the Rfam family "Bacterial small subunit ribosomal RNA", at positions 1295 to 1500 of the family's 1533-position model. The record is from RNAcentral.